This 103-nucleotide small nuclear RNA is filed under the name Mus pahari (shrew mouse). RNAcentral's name for it is "snRNA (MGP_PahariEiJ_G0033145.1)". The record is from RNAcentral. Lineage: Eukaryota; Metazoa; Chordata; Mammalia; Rodentia; Muridae.
GUGCUGGAUUCAGCAGCACAUACACAAAAACUAGCAGGGAGGAUGAACAAGGUCCCUGUGCAAGGAGCAGGGCCUGCAGUGUCAUAAAGUGUCCUCUUACUCU